RNAcentral lists this ribosomal RNA (415 nucleotides) under uncultured eukaryote. RNAcentral describes it as "SSU rRNA". It matches the Rfam family "Eukaryotic small subunit ribosomal RNA", at positions 592 to 1013 of the family's 1831-position model. The record is from RNAcentral.
CAAUAGCGUAUAUUAAAGUUGUUGCGGUUAAAAAGCUCGUAGUUGGAUUUCUGCCGAGGACGACCGGUCCGCCCUCUGGGUGAGUAUCUGGCUCGGCCUGGGCAUCUUCUUGGAGAACGUAGCUGCACUUGACUGUGUGGUGCGGUAUCCAGGACUUUACUUGAGGAAAUUAGAGUGUUUCAAGCAGGCACACGCCUUGAAUACAUUAGCAUGGAAUAAUGGAAAAGGACUUCAACCUCUUCUGUUGGUCUGAGAGGCUGUAGUAAUGAUUAAUAGGGAUAGUUGGGGGCAUUCGUAUUUAAUUGUCAGAGGUGAAAUUCUUGGAUUUAUUAAAGACGGACUACUGCGAAAGCAUUUGCCAAGGAUGUUUUUCAUUGAUCAAGAACGAAAGUUAGGGGAUCGAAGAUGAUCAGAU